ACUUUUUUACUUUUUUUUUUUUUUGAGACAGGGUCUUAACUCUGUCACCCAGGCUGGAGUGCAGUGGUGUGACCACAGCCACUGCAGGCUCAACCUCUGGGACUCAGGUGAUCCUCCCAUCUCAGCCUCCCAAGUAGCUGGGACUACAGGUUGCUUCUUCCAGAUCCCUUUUGAUCUAUUUUCAGCUAUGGAUUCAUGAGAAUCAAGACUAAGCAGCCUGAAUUGAAGGAGUAACAGUAUCACCUAACAAUGAUUUUGCUGCCAUAGUAGCUGUUUGUAUACUGGCCAUAUGCCUAGGUAAAAUGAGGCCAGAUCACUCUCAGAGUUUUCUAUCAGAGUUGGUGGCGAACUACUGCUCACUGAUAAUGAGGUGAAACCCCAGCUGAGGAGGCAAAUAUACUCAAGGAAAGUAAUAGUUUCCAAAUGCCUGGCAGUGCCAGGAAGGGGCCAUGUCCAUGGACCACUAUGUAAGGAUAUCUCAGUCUCUAGUCCAGCGUGGUUUAUGGUGCCAAAUAAGUGCCAGGUGAACUCACUACAUCUGACAAAAUCUCAAGGAACCAAGUUUACCAGAUAAUAUUUAUGAUUAUGUGAAAAAGACUGAGGAAAUCACUCAAGUGAUCCAUCAUACAGCACCUCCAGUUCCAAAGAAUACUGACUUACUUCAGCUGUACUGGUCUGGAGCUGCACAUUCUUUUCAGACAACUCUUGUUCCAGUAAGUUCAGGUGACUCUUCUCCUGUAACAGAGCCUCCUUCUUAGAAACUAUGGCCUCCCGUUUCUUUAAGUCUGCUUCCAGCUCCUCUAAUUCUUG
Molecule: non-coding RNA, 810 nt
Filed under: Pan troglodytes (chimpanzee)
Lineage: Eukaryota; Metazoa; Chordata; Mammalia; Primates; Hominidae
Source: RNAcentral